CAGCAGCCACGGUAAUACGAAGGGUGCAAGCGUUAAUCGGAAUUACUGGGCGUAAAGCGUGCGUAGGCGGUUUGUUAAGUCUGUUGUGAAAUCCCCGGGCUCAACCUGGGAAUGGCAAUGGAUACUGGCAAGCUAGAGUGUGUCAGAGGAUGGUGGAAUUCCCGGUGUAGCGGUGAAAUGCGUAGAGAUCGGGAGGAACAUCAGUGGCGAAGGCGGCCAUCUGGGACAACACUGACGCUGAGGCACGAAAGCGUGGGGAGCAAACAGGAUUAGAGACCCCCGUAGUCCCUGUCUCUUAUAC
RNAcentral lists this ribosomal RNA (301 nucleotides) under uncultured bacterium. RNAcentral's name for it is "partial 16S ribosomal RNA". It matches the Rfam family "Bacterial small subunit ribosomal RNA", at positions 509 to 807 of the family's 1533-position model. The record is from RNAcentral.